This is a non-coding RNA of Biomphalaria pfeifferi, 306 nucleotides long. NCBI's taxonomy places the organism in Eukaryota, Metazoa, Mollusca, Gastropoda, Planorbidae. The record is from the annotation of a GenBank genome assembly.
CCAUUGUUGUUAGAAUGGCACUCUAUAGAAUUAGCCAAAAAAAAAACCUAAAAAGUAAUAGCCUGUAAAUAAUAACAAAACCACAUCUUUUCAAAUGUGAUAAAACAUUUCUGGGACAACUGAGUCAUCAUGGCCACUUAACAUUCUGCAAUCAAUACUUUGACAAUGCCAAAUCAAGUGCAACUGCUAGCACUGUCAUGAUAUGUGCAUGAACUAAACAAAGAAAUUGUGAUAAAUACACAUCAUCUAUUUCUAUUGUUUGUGAAAAUAAAAAGUAUACUAUUUUCUUAACCAACAUAACAAAAG